ACGCUCGACACCUACGGGGGCAGCAGUUAGGAAUAUUCGUCAAUGGGGGAAACCCUGAACGAGCAAUGCCGCGUGAGUGAUGAAGGCCCUAUGGGUUGUAAAACUCUGUUGUUGAGAAAGAAUUGUAAGAUUAGGAAAUGAGUCUUACUUGACGGUACUCUUCAAGAAAGCCACGGCUAACUACGUGCCAGCAGCCGCGGUAAUCUGAGCGGGCUGGCAAGGC
This 223-nucleotide ribosomal RNA is filed under the name uncultured bacterium. RNAcentral's name for it is "partial 16S ribosomal RNA". It matches the Rfam family "Bacterial small subunit ribosomal RNA", at positions 328 to 539 of the family's 1533-position model. The record is from RNAcentral.